AGAAGAGGAUUGAAUUAGAGGUUUUGGGUGUGACACUUGUUCCCCAUUGCUCCUCUAUUUCUUUUGGUUUAUAGCUUCUUAUCCAUAUGUUAUCCUCCCUUGUCCUUGGCCCCAUUACAACCAUGAAAAGACCUUUUGAUUUGAACAUGCAUAUGUGCUUGAGUGUUGAUAUUAGAGGCUUGCCAAGUCUAUUUGUGUUUGCUUUCUUGAGUGCAUUGAGUGACAUUGAUUUACCUUAAACACUUGAGAGAAACACUGAUAGUGCGCAUCUGUGAGGUUCUGUUGCUUUUGAUUCACCUAUUGAGCUAAUUGAUCGUUUUUCC
This 323-nucleotide long non-coding RNA is filed under the name Vigna radiata. RNAcentral's name for it is "long non-coding RNA (VRAD_LNC001913)". Lineage: Eukaryota; Viridiplantae; Streptophyta; Magnoliopsida; Fabales; Fabaceae. The record is from RNAcentral.